RNAcentral lists this ribosomal RNA (462 nucleotides) under uncultured bacterium. RNAcentral's name for it is "partial 16S ribosomal RNA". It matches the Rfam family "Bacterial small subunit ribosomal RNA", at positions 28 to 507 of the family's 1533-position model. The record is from RNAcentral.
GACGAACGCUGGCGGCGUGCUUAACACAUGCAAGUCGAACGGUGAAGCCCUUCGGUGUGGAGCAGUGGCGAACGGGUGAGUGUCACGUGAGCAACCUUCCCCUGGCUCUGGGACAACCAUAGCAAACGGUGGCUAAUACUGGAAACGACUCGCCUCGGCUGCUAGUGUGGGGGGAAUGUUUGGCGGCUGGGGAUGGGGUCGCGGCCUAUCAGCUUGUUGGUGAGGUGAAGGCUCACCAAGGCGACGACGGGUAGCCGGCCUGAGAGGGCGACCGGCCACACUGGGACUGAGACACGGCCCAGACUCCUACGGGAGGCAGCAGUGGGGAAUAUUGCACAAUGGGCGAAAGCCUGAUGCAGCGACGCCGCGUGCGGGAUGACGGCCUUCGGGUUGUAAACCUCUUUCAGCUCCGAAGAAGCGAAAGUGACGGUAGGAGCAGAAGAAGCACCGGCUAACUACGUG